This is a long non-coding RNA of Cannabis sativa, 2104 nucleotides long. RefSeq lists it as uncharacterized. The transcript is spliced from 2 exons. The record is from RefSeq and is a predicted model, not a curated record. Lineage: Eukaryota; Viridiplantae; Streptophyta; Magnoliopsida; Rosales; Cannabaceae.
UUGUUCUUUGUAAUUAUUGCUAUUAAUCAGGUGGGAACAAUCAUAGAGUCUCCACUAGAUUUCUUUGAUGGUAGAUUAACAAAGAAAGAAAGGAAGACAUCUCUUGCACUCGAGCCGCUCUCUCGAUCGCACUCUUGGAGCUUACAGGUAAGAUAGGCUUUGAAAUGAUUUAUGCUUUUGUCGUGUUUCUUGCAUUAUGAAAAUAAAUAAAUCGUAGGCUCCGGUUGGAUAUUGGAUCUAUCGAGGUAGAGGGGCAAAACAAGAGCCAACAUAUAUAUUUGCAUUUGGUUUUCACAAAAGAGGGAUUAGAACUUUAGAGAAAGUUGUUUGGAUAUUGUUUUGCUCCACUUUUCUCAAUCCUUAAGUGCUUCACAUCUAAGCAUAACAUUGAUUUUCCGAAUCAUGUUUUAGAAUUGAGAUUAGUAAUGCAUUAGUAAUUCUAAUUGAAUGUAAGGAAGAUUGAUUGAUAGUAAAUUGUGUUGGCGAAAGGUUUUUCUCUGAUCUAACUUAUUUGGUUACUGAUGUUAUAUGCCUUAAUCUUUGAUCUUUUCAGGAAGCGCAAUGUUCGCGAAAUAGAAGAGAAAAAUCAACCUGGCGGGAAUAAUAAAUGGAAGAUAAAAGGAAAACACCCGAAAAACCGAGCAAACCAAAGAAGACAUUGAUUUUUAUUUUUCUUCUUUCUUUGUAAACUGAUUCCAUUAUUGAAGAUGCAACUAAACUGUGUGUGUCUAUGUUUCAGGUUUAGAUUUUAGAUCACCAAAGUUCCAACAUUUUUGUUCUGAUGAAAAUGUAAUAUUAUAAUGUUAACUAAGCUAAUAGUAUUAUUUGUUCCUUUCAAGUAAAAGUAUGAUAUAGUUAUCAUGCAUUAUAUUAUAUGAGAUAAAAUGACUUGUAGUUUUGUUAAGCCUAAGUUGUUCAUUAAUCAUUUUCGAGCAAUUUUAUUACCUUUUCUAUGUUCAUAAAACAUGUUUGAUUGGGUGUUAUGAUGAAUAUAAUUUCAAACACUCUUCUAUGAGCUUUGUUCAUGAAAAUGGGAGAUAAUCUUUCUUUUUAUUUUUUCCCUAAUUUAUUCGAGCGCCACUAAUUUCUUAACAUAUGAAGUACAAUAUAAAAUACAUCAAAAUAUCAUAUUUUAUGUAAAUAAAAUUUUAAAAAUUGUAUAAAUACAUAAUAAUUUUUUUUUUCUAGGAAAAAUAAUUCCUUCAUCUUCAAUGGCUAGCGAAUAGGCCCAUAUUAAAGGCCCAACAAGAACAAGAACAAACCCCUAAAAACACUACAGUUAUUACCUCUCUCUCUCGUUCAUCUUCUCUCUCACUCUUCUUCUCAGGCCUUUCCACCGCCGAGUGCCGAUCCCUCGCUCAACGGCACCGCCUCUAACUCUAUCUCUCUCACGCAGAUUCCAUUUACUUUGGCUCCUAAAUGUUGAUUUGGUUCUAUCUGAUAUUCUAAUUUGGGUUAUAUUUAUUUGUGUAUUGAUUUUAAUGAGUAAACUACCUUCUGAAGCACUUUGUAGUACCCUGUAAUUUAGGUUUUGGUUGCUUAAUUCCAUAGCAUUGGUAUUAUAUUGUUGUAAUAGUAGUUUCCUUUGUGUAUUCACCGAUCAAAUUUGCUUUUUUUCAAUGUUUUUGGGACAGAUUCCAUUUACUUUGACUCAUAAAUGUUGAUUUGGUUCUAUCUGAUAUUCUAAUUUGGGUUGUUUUAUUCGUGUAUUGAUUUCUUUUUCUGUCUUGUUCUUCUACUUAGUUUUAGUUUAGUUUAUCUUGUUUCUCAAACUUUUUCUUUUCUUGGUUAUCUUUAACAGAUUAUUUUUCUUAUUUGCAACCCUUCAUUCUUCUUCUUUCUAAUAUCAUCUUUGAUCUAAAAGUGAUCUUCUAAUCCAUUAUUCUUAUCAGAUCAGGAUGGGCUAUUAUGAUUACUUGAAUGUUAAAAUGCAUUCUUCAUGCAAAAUAAUAAAAUUGUUGUAGCUAUAUUUUUGGUUAAAAAAGACCAUGCAAGUUGGUCUUAGCAUAUUCUUUUUAUUUUACUCUGGUAUAUGUUUUGUAUUAUCAAUUUCUUACAUUAAAACAAAAUCUUCAUUUAAGAAAGAUGCUUGAAGGAUGGAUUA